CUGUGGACAGGCAAUAGCCGGGAGGGUGGCUAAAUUUCUGUUAGAGAGAAUCAUUCCGACUUGGGGGAUGCCUCUGGGACUUCACAGCCAUCGAGGAACCUAUUUCACAGGAUGCUGAGAAGUCCCAUGAUCAGCCGUCUGCAAGGUGAAGACCCAGGAAAGCCAGAGGUGUAGUUCUAUAUGAGUCUGAAGGCCUGAGAACAGUCAGUGCCAGUGUCAAGAGUAGAAGAUGGAUGUCUCAGCUCAAGCAAAGAGAGCAAAUGUGCCUUCCCUCCACCAUUUUGUUCUAGUCAGUCCUCAGCUGAAAGGAUGGUGUCCACCCACAUUGGACACAGGAAACAAAAGGAAAAAAGAGAGGAGGACAAACCACUGUUGCCACUCCACUGCUGUUCUUUUCUGGCUUCUUACCUUGACUCUUGUCCUGGCUUAGUGAUAGAAAAACCCCGCUACAGAUAGUGGGACAGUCCUUGUUUACGCCCCGUUUCCACUCCAGAGAUCUGAGAUUGGACAACACACUCUGUGGUCACCUUACCUAUGGAGAGAGACUGUGCCCAGGAAAUCUUUUGAAUUCUUGGUAAAUAGAUGAAGAGUAAGUUGACCCCUUCUGCGUUUUGUACUCAC
RNAcentral lists this long non-coding RNA (621 nucleotides) under Equus caballus (horse). RNAcentral describes it as "lncRNA (ENSECAG00000050411.1)". The record is from RNAcentral. Lineage: Eukaryota; Metazoa; Chordata; Mammalia; Perissodactyla; Equidae.